This 1241-nucleotide ribosomal RNA is filed under the name metagenome. RNAcentral's name for it is "bacterial LSU rRNA". It matches the Rfam family "Bacterial large subunit ribosomal RNA", at positions 1564 to 2814 of the family's 2925-position model. The record is from RNAcentral.
UGAAUACGAGACGCUACGGCGUCGAAGCAGUCUAUGUCAUACUCCCAAGAGAAGCUUGCACUGUCAUAAACAAAUAAUGCCUGUACCAUAACCGACACAGGUGGGUAGGUAGAGUAUACUAAGGGGCGCGAGAUAACUCUCUCUAAGGAACUCGGCAAAAUGACUCCGUAACUUCGGGAGAAGGAGUGCCUUAUUUAUAAGGUUGCAAUAACAAGAUCCAAGCAACUGUUUAUCAAAAACACAGGUCUCCGCUAAGUCGUAAGACGAUGUAUGGGGGCUGACGCCUGCCCAGUGCCAGAAGGUUAAAGAAGUUGGUUAGCAUUAGCGAAGCUGAUAACUGAAGCCCUGGUGAACGGCGGCCGUAACUAUAACGGUCCUAAGGUAGCGAAAUUCCUUGUCGGGUAAGUUCCGACCCGCACGAAAGGCGUAAUGAUUUGGAUACUGUCUCAGAGAGGGGCUCGGUGAAAUAGACUUGUCUGUGAAGAUGCGGACUACCUGCACCAGGACAGAAAGACCCUAUGAAGCUUUACUGUAACUUGAAAUUGAAAUUGGACUUUAUUUGCGCAGUAUAGGUGGGAGGCAUUGAUAAUAUUCUUGCGGGAAUGUUGGAGCCAUCAGUGAGAUACCACUCUUGUAAUGUUAGAUUUCUAACUUUGGAUCAUUAUCUGGUCAAAGGACAGUUUCAGGCGGGCAGUUUGACUGGGGCGGUCGCCUCCUAAAUGGUAACGGAGGCGCACAAAGGUUUCCUCUGAACGGGUAGAAAUCGUAUCUAGAGUGUAAAGGCAUAAGGAAGCUUGACUGUGAGACCUACAAGUCGAGCAGGGACGAAAGUCGGUCUUAGUGAUCUGACGGUGCUGAGUGGAAAGGCCGUCACUCAACGGAUAAAAGUUACUCUAAGGAUAACAGGCUGAUCUCCCCCAAGAGUUCACAUCGACGGGGAGGUUUGGCACCUCGAUGUCGGCUCAUCGCAUCCUGGGGCGGUAGUACGUCCCAAGGGUUGGGCUGUUCGCCCAUGAAAGCGGUACGCGAGCUGGGUUCAGAACGUCGUGAGACAGUUCGGUCCAUAUCCGGUGUAGGCGUUAGAAUAUUGAGAGGAGCCUUCUUUAGUACGAGAGGACCGAGAAGGACAUACCUCUGGUGUACCAGUUAUCGUGCCAACGGUAAACGCUGGGUAGCUAUGUAUGGAGAGGAUAACCGCUGAAAGCAUCUAAGUGGGAAGCCCACCUCAAGAUAAGUAUUCU